AGAAAAUUUGGUCAAUGGUCGAGAGACUGAAACCAGCCAGUAGCGUGAAGGAUGAAGGUUCUAUGGAUUGUAAACUUCUUUUAUAAGGGAAUAAAACCGCCUACGUGUAGGUGCUUGUAUGUACCUUAUGAAUAAGCAUCGGCUAACUCCGUGCCAGCAGCCGCGGUAAUACGGAGGAUGCGAGCGUUAUCCGGAUUUAUUGGGUUUAAAGGGAGCGUAGACGGGAGAUUAAGUCAGUUGUGAAAGUUUGAGGCCCAACCUUAAAAUUGCAGUUGAUACUGGUUUCCUUGAGUGCGGUUGAGGUGUGUGGAAUUCGUGGUGUAGCGGUGAAAUGCUUAGAUAUCACGAAGAACUCCUAUUGCGAAGGCAGCACACUAAGCCGCUACUGACGUUGAGGCUCGAAAGUGUGGGUAUCAAACAGGAUUAGAUACCCUGGUAGUCCACACGGUAAACGAUGAAUACUCGCUGUUGGCGAUAUACGGUCAGCGGCCAAGCGAAAGCAUUAAGUAUUCCACCUGGGGAGUACGCCGGCAACGGUGAAACUCAAAGGAAUUGACGGGGGCCCGCACAAGCGGAGGAACAUGUGGUUUAAUUCGAUGAUACGCGAGGAACCUUACCCGGGCUUAAAUUGCACUGGACAGGCUCAGAGAUGGGCCCUUCUUCGGACCAGUGUGAAGGUGCUGCAUGGUUGUCGUCAGCUCGUGCCGUGAGGUGUCGGCUUAAGUGCCAUAACGAGCGCAACCCUUGCCAUUAGUUACUAACAGGUCAUGCUGAGGACUCUAAUGGGACUGCCAUCGUAAGAUGUGAGGAAGGUGGGGAUGACGUCAAAUCAGCACGGCCCUUACGUCCGGGGCUACACACGUGUUACAAUGGGAGGUACAGAAGGCCGCUACCCGGCGACGGGAUGCCAAUCCCCAAAACCUCUCUCAGUUCGGAUUGGAGUCUGCAACCCGACUCCAUGAAGCUGGAUU
Molecule: ribosomal RNA, 971 nt
Filed under: uncultured bacterium
Lineage: Bacteria
Description: bacterial SSU rRNA
Rfam family: Bacterial small subunit ribosomal RNA
Source: RNAcentral